This 704-nucleotide ribosomal RNA is filed under the name uncultured Pseudomonadota bacterium. Its description in RNAcentral is "bacterial SSU rRNA". It matches the Rfam family "Bacterial small subunit ribosomal RNA", at positions 63 to 756 of the family's 1533-position model. Lineage: Bacteria; Pseudomonadati; Pseudomonadota. The record is from RNAcentral.
CGAACGGUAACAGGAAGAAGCUUGCUUCUUUGCUGACGAGUGGCGGACGGGUGAGUAAUGUCUGGGAAACUGCCUGAUGGAGGGGGAUAACUACUGGAAACGGUAGCUAAUACCGCAUAACGUCGCAAGACCAAAGAGGGGGACCUUCGGGCCUCUUGCCAUCGGAUGUGCCCAGAUGGGAUUAGCUAGUAGUUGGGGUAACGGCUCACCUAGGCGACGAUCCCUAGCUGGUCUGAGAGGAUGACCAGCCACACUGGAACUGAGACACGGUCCAGACUCCUACGGGAGGCAGCAGUGGGGAAUAUUGCACAAUGGGCGCAAGCCUGAUGCAGCCAUGCCGCGUGUAUGAAGAAGGCCUUCGGGUUGUAAAGUACUUUCAGCGGGGAGGAAGGGAGUAAAGUUAAUACCUUUGCUCAUUGACGUUACCCGCAGAAGAAGCACCGGCUAACUCCGUGCCAGCAGCCGCGGUAAUACGGAGGGUGCAAGCGUUAAUCGGAAUUACUGGGCGUAAAGCGCACGCAGGCGGUUUGUUAAGUCAGAUGUGAAAUCCCCGGGCUCAACCUGGGAACUGCAUCUGAUACUGGCAAGCUUGAGUCUCGUAGAGGGGGGUAGAAUUCCAGGUGUAGCGGUGAAAUGCGUAGAGAUCUGGAGGAAUACCGGUGGCGAAGGCGGCCCCCUGGACGAAGACUGACGCUCAGGUGCGA